GACGAACGCUGGCGGCGUGCCUAAUACAUGCAAGUUGAGCGAUGAAGCUUGGUGCUUGCACCACUUUGAAGAGCAGCGAACGGGUGAGUAACGCGUGGGGAACCUGCCUUUGAGCGGGGGACAACUUUUGGAAACGAAUGCUAAUACCGCAUAACAACUUUAAACAUAAGUUUCAAGUUUGAAAGAUGCAUUUGCAUCACUCAAAGAUGAUCCCGCGUUGUAUUAGCUAGUUGGUGAGGUAAAGGCUCACCAAGGCGAUGAUACAUAACCGACCUGAGAGGGUGGUCGGCCACAUUGGGACUGAGACACGGCCCAAGCUCCUACGGGAAGCAGCAGUAGGGGAUCUUCGGCAAUGGACGGAAGUCCGACCGAGCAACGCCGCGUGGGUGAAGAAGGUUUUCGGAUCGUAAAACUCUGUUGGUAGGGAAGAACGUUGGUGGGAGUGGAAAGCGCAUCAAGUGACGGUAACUACCCAGAAAGGGACGGCUAACUACGUG
Molecule: ribosomal RNA, 497 nt
Filed under: uncultured bacterium
Lineage: Bacteria
Description: partial 16S ribosomal RNA
Rfam family: Bacterial small subunit ribosomal RNA
Source: RNAcentral